This 497-nucleotide ribosomal RNA is filed under the name uncultured bacterium. RNAcentral describes it as "partial 16S ribosomal RNA". It matches the Rfam family "Bacterial small subunit ribosomal RNA", at positions 28 to 507 of the family's 1533-position model. The record is from RNAcentral.
GACGAACGCUGGCGGCGUGCCUAAUACAUGCAGGUAGAACGCUGAAGAGAGGAGCUUGCUCUUCUUGGAUGAGUUGCGAACGGGUGAGUAACGCGUAGGUAACCUGCCUUGUAGCGGGGGAUAACUAUUGGAAACGAUAGCUAAUACCGCAUAACAAUGGAUGACACAUGUCAUUUAUUUGAAAGGGGCAAUUGCUCCACUACAAGAUGGACCUGCGUUGUAUUAGCUAGUAGGUGAGGUAGUGGCUCACCUAGGCGACGAUACAUAGCCGACCUGAGAGGGUGAUCGGCCACACUGGGACUGAGACACGGCCCAGACUCCUACGGGAGGCAGCAGUAGGGAAUCUUCGGCAAUGGGGGCAACCCUGACCGAGCAACGCCGCGUGAGUGAAGAAGGUUUUCGGAUCGUAAAGCUCUGUUGUAAGUCAAGAACGGGUGUGAGAGUGGAAAGUUCACACUGUGACGGUAGCUUACCAGAAAGGGACGGCUAACUACGUG